ACACCCCUCACCCCACGGUGUUCAUUCACCUGUGGCGGUGGAAUCUGCGGCUCGAGCCGGCUCUUUGAUGGCCGGCUCGUGGCGCCAAGUCAAGCUCUCGUCGCGCCGUCUCUUGACACUUCGGUUCGUCCGAGGCGGGGUAUCAGGCUUUCGAGCAUUUACCACCCGGCCGAGAAUCAUAAGUUCGCACUUCGCAAGGAGCGCGGGGAGGCGGCGGAGAGGACCAGUCCCGAGGCUCUUCGGAGCCGAGGGACACCGUCUCUAUAACAGGAGACACUCAUUU
RNAcentral lists this unclassified non-coding RNA (283 nucleotides) under Pelagomonas calceolata. RNAcentral describes it as "ITS2". The record is from RNAcentral. Lineage: Eukaryota; Pelagophyceae; Pelagomonadales; Pelagomonadaceae.